AAUCUGCCUCUAGGUCGGGGACAACAAUUGGAAACGAUUGCUAAUACCCGAUGUGCAGCAAUGUGAAAGAUUUAUUGCCUACAGAUGAGCUCGCGUCUGAUUAGCUAGUAGGUGUGGUAAUGGCGCACCUAGGCGACGAUCAAUAACUGGUCUGAGAGGAUGACCAGUCACACUGGGACUGAGACACGGCCCAGACUCCUACGGGAGGCAGCAGUGGGGAAUUUUCCGCAAUGGGCGAAAGCCUGACGGAGCAAUACCGCGUGAGG
RNAcentral lists this ribosomal RNA (266 nucleotides) under uncultured bacterium. RNAcentral describes it as "partial 16S ribosomal RNA". It matches the Rfam family "Bacterial small subunit ribosomal RNA", at positions 123 to 406 of the family's 1533-position model. The record is from RNAcentral.